RNAcentral lists this long non-coding RNA (359 nucleotides) under Hordeum vulgare. RNAcentral describes it as "long non-coding RNA (HVUL_LNC021169)". Lineage: Eukaryota; Viridiplantae; Streptophyta; Magnoliopsida; Poales; Poaceae. The record is from RNAcentral.
UCCCGUGCUUGCGGCCAGUAAUUUGCCGCAGAGAGCGGCAGAUAGGACCUCCCGCAGCCGAGCGAGGCUCGAGCCAGAAUCGGAGAAGAGCCCGUGUGGAAUCGCGUGUGGCCAGCCCAUGCUGCUGUCCGACACGGGCUCAAGCAUACAGACGCCCCUUUAUACAUACACACCGCCCAAGGCAAAGCAGCCAAGAAGAACCCAACCCAAAGCAAAGCAGCCGCUGCGAUUCCUUCACCCAGAAGGGAAAAGGAAAAAGAAAAAAGGCAUCCGCAGCCGCCGCGAUGAUCCUCCGCAUCCGCAGCCGCGACGGCACUGACCGCAUCACGGUGCCGGACGCGGCCGCCGCCACGGNNNNN